UGGCUCAGUUGAAAGAGCAUGAGACUCUUGAUCUUGAGAUUGUGAGUUUGAGUCCCAC
This 58-nucleotide transfer RNA is filed under the name Canis lupus familiaris (dog). It matches the Rfam family "tRNA", at positions 8 to 63 of the family's 71-position model. Rfam says of the family: Transfer RNA (tRNA) molecules are approximately 80 nucleotides in length. Their secondary structure includes four short double-helical elements and three loops (D, anti-codon, and T loops). Further hydrogen bonds mediate the characteristic L-shaped molecular structure. tRNAs have two regions of fundamental functional importance: the anti-codon, which is responsible for specific mRNA codon recognition, and the 3' end, to which the tRNAs corresponding amino acid is attached (by aminoacyl-tRNA synthetases). tRNAs cope with the degeneracy of the genetic code in two manners: having more than one tRNA (with a specific anti-codon) for a particular amino acid; and 'wobble' base-pairing, i.e. permitting non-standard base-pairing at the 3rd anti-codon position. RNAcentral also lists the same sequence under 1 other name. Lineage: Eukaryota; Metazoa; Chordata; Mammalia; Carnivora; Canidae. The record is from Rfam by way of RNAcentral.